This is a long non-coding RNA of Solenopsis invicta (red fire ant), 1147 nucleotides long. RefSeq lists it as uncharacterized. Lineage: Eukaryota; Metazoa; Arthropoda; Insecta; Hymenoptera; Formicidae. The transcript has 2 exons. The record is from RefSeq and is a predicted model, not a curated record.
ACUCGAUUACAGGACGGCCGUGUUUGCUCUGUAAGCUGUGUUGUAAGUGUUCGUGAAACUUAGCACGACUUAAAUUGCGUACAUUCGAAACUUUCGCGACCCCUUCGCCGCCCGUGUGGUCGUGGCUUAAUUGCAACGAACUCAAUUGUUAUCAUUUGUUAUCGAGUGACUAACAGUGAAUCCCGCGACUAUUAUACACACUAUACGCGGAUCGCUCGAUAGCAGCGAGACGUAUCGAUUUUCGUUUCUUCACGCCGACAUACGACACGCUGGCGAAACACGGGGUACACGUCGGCGGGAGUUUUAAUAAUGCCGGGGGAGCCGUGCCCGCCGUUCGAGGGAUCGAUUACGCGCUCGGCGUUACCGCGAUCCAGAAUACUCCAUAAGCUCGCAAAUGCGUGACGAAUUCGUGCAUGGGCCCAUGCUUGCACCUUGCGCCGCGCAACUUGCAGCCGACUGACCGCCAGGUAAGCAGGCAUGCUCGCCGGUGCUGGCGCUUUCAAGCCGGCCACCUGUAUCCUAGCAACUGGAAAUCAAUUUCUAAUGGCAACACGCGCGGCCGCUGCUUUUCUUUAAAGCGUAAAAGAACGGGAGCGAUCGGCCACGAUACUUGGACACCGCGGCCACGGCGUCGAAAAUGGCCGGCUACUCGGUUCAGAGUUUUUCAUUUUUUCCCGCAUUUCUUCACUGUGAUAAAAAUAAAAGACGGCGAUGAAUAGCUGUAUUUCAUGUUGCAAUUAAGUUAUUAACGUAUUUGUAUAAUUAAUAUUUAGCAGAUUACACUGGUUCCUACGUAAUACUUUAUAGAUAUUUAUCUCCUAACGUAAUUAUAAGUUUGCGCGGGUAUGGCAAGCUUAUAAUUAUAUAUUCUAUGUUAUUAUUCCAGAAAACAUUAUGGCGUCUUAAAGACGACUAAAAGGCUUAAAAUGUCUUAAAUUAAGACAUUGUUUUGUCUUUAAGACGUCUUUAUGUAAUUAAGACAUCGUUCGAAAGUUUUAGAUAUUUUUCUUAUAAGCUUCAUAUUCUACAAAAACUGAUAGUUAAUAUUUCAUAGUAUAAUUUCAUUGCCGAUAAGAAUGUAGCACCGUUUUAUUUCAGCAAUAAUUCUGUAAUGUUCUAUUUUAAUUAAAAUUCUUUUUAAUUAUAA